GUGCAGAUAUCAUAAUGACCCAGUCUCCAUCCUUCAUGGCUGUUUUAAUAGGAGAGAAGGUCACCAUCAGCUGCAAGUCCAGUGAGAGUCUUUUAUACAGUAAAGACCAGAAGAACUACUUGAACUGGUACCAGCAGAAACCAGGACAUGCUCCAAAACAGUUAAUCUACUAUGCAUCUACUCGGGAUUCUGGGGCCCCUGAUCGCUUCAUAGGCAGUGGAUCUGAGACAGAUUUCACUCUCACCAUCAGCAGUGUCCAGGCUGAAGAUAAGGCAGAUUAUUACUGCCUACAGCUUUAUAAAUCUCCUCCCACAGUGUUUCAGCCUCCAACAUAAACUUCUGAGAGUCUCA
Alexandromys fortis (reed vole) is the source of this 351-nucleotide non-coding RNA. The record is from the annotation of a RefSeq genome assembly. Lineage: Eukaryota; Metazoa; Chordata; Mammalia; Rodentia; Cricetidae.